RNAcentral lists this long non-coding RNA (4231 nucleotides) under Salvia miltiorrhiza (redroot sage). RNAcentral describes it as "long non-coding RNA (SMIL_LNC008443)". Lineage: Eukaryota; Viridiplantae; Streptophyta; Magnoliopsida; Lamiales; Lamiaceae. The record is from RNAcentral.
GCCAACUUAUGCUUAAUAAGGCGUUUCACACGUUGGCUUCCACGAGCAGGUUGUUGCUGUGAAGCAGCUCAAUCUUGAAGGGCUGCAAGGGAAUCAAGAAUUCAUUGUUGAGGUUCUGAUGCUCAGCCUGUUGCAUCACCCAAACCUCGUGAACUUGAUCGGUUAUUGCACUGAUGGUGAUCAGAGGCUCCUUGUUUAUGAGUUUAUGCAGUUGGGUAGCUUGGAGAAUCAUUUGUUUGGUACAUUUUUUUUCUUGUUGGAUUUCUUAAUCGAUUCGACUACCUGUUUUUGGAUUGGUUUCAAUGUUUGGACCACUCUCUAGUUAGUCUUAAUUGUUGAAAACAGAUGAUAGUGACACAUAAAGAAAAGGGGAAAUAUCAUUUAACUAACUUCACCUAAGCAUUUCUUAGUCCAUCUCUGCUUAGUUUUUAUUUUUCUUCAGGUUUUCUUUCCUGUCUUGAUGCGCCCUUAACACNGUCCAACUACCACGUCAAUAAUCUCCUAAUUAUAGACAUCCGACGCUAUAAAUUUUGUGUUUUAUUUUUAUUGAGGUUUAUAAAUAAUCGAAACUCUACUUACUUAAGAAGUAGCCUAGUUGCCUAAGUCAUUACAAAUUUAAAGGCAUUGUACAAACGAGAUUAAAUGGCAAUAAAAGAACUCAUAAAGUUCAUAUAUGACUAAUUUUAAAGAACAAUUUAAUUGAAUGCAUUUCUAGAAGGAUGUGAUAAUCAUAUAAAAGUGUUUGAAUUACCGAAUUAGACAUGUAAUUGGACCCCAUUUCCAUAAGUCAUAACUCAUAACACGAUCUUCUUGAGAAUUUGUGAAGCCUACCAGUCUAUUUUGUCCACUUAUACAAAUAUCAAAUAUUGAACCAAUAGAGAUAUGAAAAUUCUUGUGCAUUUGUCAAGAAAAUCUCAAACCAAUGACAAUAGUCUAUCACACUUUCUGUCUGGCAUUUUCUCAUCAUCCAAUUGUCAAAGCCAAUUAUUGGGAUCCAUCACUAUCUUUGGAAAAAAAAAAUUAUUAUAAUGUGAAAUACUUAGAGGUUUUCAAUUUAUCAAUCCUUUAUUAGGCUUUAACAAUUUUUUUUUGCUUGUUCUUUCGUGAUCCAGCGAUGAACAAAUAUGAUGUCACUAUCAUCUUUUUUAUUUGGACCCAUUUUGGCUAGUUUAAUUAAUUUCACUCGUGACAUUUAGAAUUCAAAACGAGAUCUUGAAAAUUUUAUGUGAAUAUUCUUUUUAUCUUUUUGAAACAAUUCAUGUGACUCAUUUAUUAUUUUGGGGGAUAUAUAUAUGUUACUGGAUGGAUUUUCAUUGUGUAAAUGAAUGAGUACAGAAAUCAAAUCAAAUCUAAUCGUUUCAUUUAUUUUUUAAUUAAAGAAAUUAAUAUGAUUACUCGAAAUACAUGCUUAUAACUCAUCCUCUUCUGAUGUUGUUAUGUAUGUACUGAAAUAAUAAGAACAAUUAAUUGUGACGUAAUUAUUAAUGAAAGCGGUCGGUCUGUUUACUUUCAAAUUUAUUUUAUUUAAUUAAUUAAAUUCAAAUUAUUGUUGAUGGUGCUGCUAACAAUAAUAGCGAUUACAUAUAAAUCGAUAAUGAAAGUAAAUAUGUUUACAUAAUCGAAAUAUAACUUUAUAAAUUAUUAGCAAUUCAAAAAAAUAUGAGAUGCGUUCUCUUUUGGCGAUACACCUUCUUCACAAACUCGCUAGUUAUACUUUGUCUUUAUCUGAUGUAAUAAUUUAAAAGUCGAGUUUUCCAACUUGACUUUCUGAUUUGAAUUAAUACAAGCAUACAUUCUCCCUCAAAAAAAGAAAAGAAAUAUGAGAUGAGGAUAUUCUGUUGUCUUAUUCUUUUAAUUUUUCCACAACCAUUAGCUUUUUACGUGCUCUAAAUAAUUCGACGUAACAUAUAAGAACGAUAUUUAAUACAUUUUUUAAAGAUUAGGCAGUCAAAAAAGCAAAGCUAUGCCAUAAUUUUAUUUCCCCACUAUCAGUUUCCCUAAAUCAUUCACACCAUUACAUCCCAAUUUUGGUAAUAAUAAUUAAAGCACCACUACACCAAUGAUCUCUAGUGUGAUUCUUGUUUUCACAUCCUCUUUAGUCAACCAUUUAGGCCCCACCCAAACAAAUAAAAUAACCCAAAAUCAAAUCUAUCCCAACAAUUUGAAAAUAAGAAAUUACCCCCUAAAUCUAAUCUAAUGAUAGAAAAAAUAUUCCCAUGCAUGUGAAAUUGUGAAGGCCCUUUUCCCAACCAAUCCAAAUGUAGCCCCCCUUUUUGUCUCACUAACCGUCAAAAUUCCAUGAAAAAGUAAUUAUCAAAAUGGACCAUCAUAAUCAUUGAGUUAAUCAAGAUUAGUGGCAUAACGGGAUUUUGGCCGACGUGUAACAGUAAUCAAGGGUAAUUUGGUAAUUUCGGUGGUCCUCCAUACCCAAAGUUUAAAUGCUAGCUGUGUAUGAGAGUGACCUGAAAACACUCGUCUGAGUGCUUUUAUUGCGCUGCUUUCCCCAAAAGGCCCACAAUCUCUACACUCACUAAACAAUUCAUGGGAAAGAAAAAGAUUUCAUUUUUUUUAGAGCGAGAAGAGGAAGAGGGAAGGGAGAUAAAGAGCAGGAAUUUAACCGUUAAAGGCGGCGCUUGAAAAGGGCUGUAACGUUGGGGAGGGAGGAAAAAGAAGCUGACUUUGCUGUUAAAUUCUGGGUUUUAUUUGUGAUGGUCAAAUUUGAAUGUGCUUAGUUUAAAGUGGGCUCUUCUCUCUGUUUGUAAAAAUGCAGUCUUUUUCUUUCACACACUGGAUGGAUUUGAUUAUUUGAAUUGUUGUUAGUUGGGUUUUGUGUAGAGCUAGUAGUUUGGCAUAGAUCUGUUGGGAGAUUUGAGCUUGUGAUGUUUUUGUUUCUGGGGAUUUGGGUAGUUGGAUUAUAGGAGCCUAGGAGGGAACGUGACAUUCUUGAUUCUCCUUCUCUCUCUCUCCUAGUAAUUAUUUUUCUGUUUUUCGAGUUUCUUUCCUCUUUGUCACGGGAUGCUAGCGUUUAAAAAUGGUAAUGAGGGAUUGAUUUGGUAUAUAUUAGGUGAAUUCAAUUGGGAUUCUAUUCAAAGAAUCAAAGUUUAGGGGGAAAAAGAAUUUGAUAAAGGAAAGCAAGAAUUUGGGGUUUAAACUUUAGAGAAAGAAGGAAAAUGGGUUGCUUUUCUUGCAUAAGUCCUCCCAAUAAGGAUGUGAGGGAUUAUAACGGAGGAGAUAUAGACCCAAGAAUCACUAAUUCUUCAGGUUAACACCAUUCAUGUAUUCGUGUGUUCUCUUCAAUUUGAAUGUGUGGAUCAUUGUUGGUUGUAUGACUAUGAUGAAUGUGUUUUGAAUUUUAAUGUGCUUAUUUGGUUUCUUGAUGUGCAGUUGGUGGGAAGCGAAAGGCGAAUGCCAAUGGUAGUGGUGAGAUCAUGAGCAUAUAGCUUUUGAAAUUUGGCCUAUAUUUAUUGUCUAUGGGCCUAUGGCUUGUUUUUGCUGUUGUUCGAGAUUUGGAUAUUAAUUUGAUGCAUUGUCUUACUUGUUUUUGCUGCUGUUUGAGUUUUGUAGUGAGCGUGAAGAAAGGAAGUGUUGCUAGAGCAAAGGGAAAGGAUGGCAACAAUCCCUCAAAGGGCAAUGCUGCUCGUAGCUUCACCUUCAAGGAGCUUGCUCUGGCCACUCAGAACUUUAGGGAGGCUAAUUUGAUUGGCGAAGGAGGUUUUGGGAGCGUCUACAAAGGCCGCCUCGAAUCUGGCUUGGUAUAUAUGUUAUGUUUUCAUUGUUCUUGAGAUAUUGAGCUUUACAAGUAUGCAAAAUAUUUUGAUUAAAGAAGAGAUUUGUUGAAAUUAAAUUUGGUGUUUUACAUAGAUGAUUGAUGGCCACCGAGAAACUGGCUUGGUAAAUUUGUUAUGUUUUUCUGAUUUUGAGAUUUUGAAGUUACAAGUAUGCACAUAUGUUUGAAUGAAGAAGGGAUUUGUUGGAAUGGAAUUUGGUGUGUUGCUUAGAUGAUUGAUGCCAACUUACGCUUAAUAAGGAGUUUCACACGUUGGCUUCCACGAGCAGGUUGUUGCUGUGAAGCAGCUCAAUCUUGAAGGGCUGCAAGGGAAUCAAGAAUUCAUUGUUGAGGUUCUGAUGCUCAGCCUGUUGCAUCACCCAAACCUCGUGAACUUGAUCGGUUAUUGCACUGAUGGUGAUCAGAGGCUCCUUGUUUAUGAGUUCAUGCAGUUGGGUAGCUUGG